UUGCACCGGGUGGAUGAGUGGCGAACGGGUGAGUAACACGUGAGUAACCUGCCCCUGACUUCGGGAUAAGCCCGGGAAACUGGGUCUAAUACCGGAUACGACUGCCGGACGCAUGUCUGGUGGUGGAAAGUUUUUUCGGUUGGGGAUGGGCUCGCGGCCUAUCAGUUUGUUGGUGAGGUAAUGGCUCACCAAGACGACGACGGGUAGCCGGCCUGAGAGGGCGACCGGCCACACUGGGACUGAGACACGGCCCAGACUCCUACGGGAGGCAGCAGUGGGGAAUAUUGCACAAUGGGGGAAACCCUGAUGCAGCGACGCAGCGUGCGGGAUGACGGCCUUCGGGUUGUAAACCGCUUUCAGCAGGGAAGAAGCGCAAGUGACGGUACCUGCAGAAGAAGUACCGGCUAACUACGUGCCAGCAGCCGCGGUAAUACGUAGGGUACGAGCGUUGUCCGGAAUUAUUGGGCGUAAAGAGCUCGUAGGUGGUUGGUCACGUCUGCUGUGGAAACGCAACGCUUAACGUUGCGCGUGCAGUGGGUACGGGCUGACUAGAGUGCA
This 558-nucleotide ribosomal RNA is filed under the name Brevibacterium casei. RNAcentral describes it as "bacterial SSU rRNA". It matches the Rfam family "Bacterial small subunit ribosomal RNA", at positions 78 to 650 of the family's 1533-position model. The record is from RNAcentral. Lineage: Bacteria; Bacillati; Actinomycetota; Actinomycetes; Micrococcales; Brevibacteriaceae.